Molecule: ribosomal RNA, 500 nt
Filed under: uncultured bacterium
Lineage: Bacteria
Description: partial 16S ribosomal RNA
Rfam family: Bacterial small subunit ribosomal RNA
Source: RNAcentral
AUUGAACGCUGGCGGUAUGCUUAACACAUGCAAGUCGAACGAUGAGAAAGAGCUUGCUCUUUCGAUUAGUGGCGGACGGGUGCGUAACGCGUAGGAAUCUACCUAUUAGUGGGGGACAACUUAGGGAAACUUAAGCUAAUACCGCAUACGCCCUACGGGGGAAAGAAGGGGAUCGCAAGACCUUUUGCUAAUAGAUAAGCCUGAGUAGUGAUUAGCUAGUUGGUGGGGUAAAAGCUCACCAAGGCGACGAUCCUUAACUGGUUUGAGAGAAUGAUCAGUCACACUGAAACUGGAAAACAGACCAGACUCCUACGGGAGGAAGCAGUGGGGAAUAUUGGACAAUGGGCGAAAGCCUGAUCCAGCAAUACCGCGUGUGUGAAGAAGGCCUUAGGGUUGUAAAGCACUUUCAAUUGGAAGGAAAACCUCGAAGCUAAUACCUUCGAGUUUGACAUUACCUUUAGAAGAAGCACCGGCUAACUCCGUGCCAGCAGCCGCCGUAA